This 27-nucleotide non-coding RNA is filed under the name Mus musculus (house mouse). Lineage: Eukaryota; Metazoa; Chordata; Mammalia; Rodentia; Muridae. The record is from RNAcentral.
AAGAUGUAGAUGGCUGGUGACCUGUGU